This 1169-nucleotide ribosomal RNA is filed under the name metagenome. RNAcentral's name for it is "SSU rRNA". It matches the Rfam family "Eukaryotic small subunit ribosomal RNA", at positions 559 to 1762 of the family's 1831-position model. The record is from RNAcentral.
CUCUGGUGCCAGCAGCCGCGGUAAUUCCAGCUCUCAAAAUGCAUAGAAUCAUUGCUGCGGUUAAAAAGCUCGUAGUUGGAUCUGUGCUGGCGGGUCGGUCCACCUUCGGGUGCGCACUGAUUUCGCCGGCUUUCCUGCUGUAUUUGGCCCUGUGCCUUUCAACGGGUGCAGUGUCCAGUGCAGCAAGUUUACCUUGAACAAAUCAGAGUGCUUCAAACAGGCGUUUCGCUUGAAUGUUCGUGCAUGGAAUAAUAGAAGAGGAUCUCGGUUCUAUUUUAUUGGUUUUAUAGACUGAGAUAAUGGUUAACAGAGACUAACGGGGGCAUUAGUAUUGCUACGUGAGAGGUGAAAUUCUUGGACCGUAGCAAGACUGACUACAGCGAAAGCAUUUGCCAAGAAAGUCUUCAUUAAUCAAGAACGAAAGUCAGAGGUUCGAAGGCGAUCAGAUACCGCCCUAGUUCUGACCGUAAACGAUGCCAACUAGUGAUCCGCCGGUGGAACAUUCGCCCUGGUGGGGAACUUCCCGGAAACGAAAGUCUUCCGGUUCCGGGGGAAGUAUGGUUGCAAAGCUGAAACUUAAAGGAAUUGACGGAAGGGCACCACCAGGAGUGGAGCCUGCGGCUUAAUUUGACCCAACACGGGAAAACUCACCCGGCCCGGACACCGUAAGGAUUGACAGAUUGAUAGCUCUUUCAUGAUUCGGUGGAUGGUGGUGCAUGGCCGUUCUUAGUUCGUGGAGCGAUUUGUCUGGUUUAUUCCGAUAACGAGCGAGACUCUGGCCUACUAAAUAGUUUACACAUUGCUUCUGUGUGCAUAACUUCUUAGAGGGAUUUUCGGUGUUCAGCCGCAAGAAAUUGAGCAAUAACAGGUCUGUGAUGCCCUUAGAUGUCCGGGGCUGCACGCGCGCUACACUGGCAAAAUCAGCGUGCUUGUCCUUCCCCGAAAGGGGUUGGUAAACUCGUGAAAAUUUGCCGUGAUUGGGAUCGGAAAUUGCAAUUAUUUUCCGUGAACGAGGAAUUCCAAGUAAGUGCGAGUCAUCAACUCGCGUUGAUUACGUCCCUGCCCUUUGUACACACCGCCCGUCGCUGCCCGGGACUGAGCCGUUUCGAGAAACUUGGAGACCGCUGAUCUGGUAACUUCGAUUGCCAUUUUGGUGGGAACCAAUUUAA